Tarenaya hassleriana is the source of this 653-nucleotide long non-coding RNA. RefSeq lists it as uncharacterized. NCBI's taxonomy places the organism in Eukaryota, Viridiplantae, Streptophyta, Magnoliopsida, Brassicales, Cleomaceae. The transcript has 2 exons. The record is from RefSeq and is a predicted model, not a curated record.
CUCUAAUCCGCCGAAUCACAUGCCUAACCACGACUCUCCAUCCACCAAACCAAAUAAUAUCACCAAUUUUUUUUUUUUAAAAAAACGAUUAAAAUUUUCAAAAUAAUCAAGGUUAAUGUUAGGAUUAGCACUUUUGAGUGACUAUUUCUGUAAUUUUAGGUUAACUAAAUACGUACGUACCUACUACAAGAAUGAAUUCACAGCCGGUAGAGAGAUUGUUGAUCAAUCCUCCGCAGGAUCUGCUUCGGGCAUGGAUUCAUUUGGUUGGUUGUCAACAUAUGCCUGAGAACUCACAACUUGCCCUGUCAAGUCCUUGUGUUUCAAAUUUCCUGCAACCACAUGUACCCAUCCAGAAGGCGGAGCCAAGUGAAGUUGUAUGGAUAAGGGCCUUGACGUGAAACAGAAAGCGUUCUAGUGAUCUCUUUGUUGCUGGUAUUUUGCUGGUUAUGGCUGUUCGUUUCAGGCCCUAUAUAAACAGAACCUAAAAUCAAUUUGUUUCGUCGCAGAAGAUUAAAUUAAUCUUAACUUUUGAAACCGGAUUUGUUAAGACUACUAACCUUGGCUUCAGAACAUAGAGUCUGUAAUGUUCUUGUGGCCUUCUGAAGAUCCUUCACCUGAUAUGUCAUCGUAAGAGUUUCGGAAAUUUGGUGAUA